UUCCUACGGGAGGCAGCAGUGGGGAAUAUUGCACAAUGGGCGCAAGCCUGAUGCAGCGACGCCGCGUGAGGGAUGACGGCCUUCGGGUUGUAAACCUCUUUCAGUAGGGACGAAGCGCAAGUGACGGUACCUACAGAAGAAGCGCCGGCCAACUACGUGCCAGCAGCCGCGGUAAGACGUAGGGCGCGAGCGUUGUCCGGAUUUAUUGGGCGUAAAGAGCUCGUAGGCGGCUUGUCGCGUCGGCUGUGAAAACCCGUAGCUUAACUGCGGGCUUGCAGCUGAUACGGGCAGGCUGGAGUUCGGUAGGGGAGACUGGAAUUCCUGGUGUAGCGGUGAAAUGCGCAGAUAUCAGGAGGAAC
RNAcentral lists this ribosomal RNA (359 nucleotides) under uncultured Micromonosporaceae bacterium. RNAcentral's name for it is "bacterial SSU rRNA". It matches the Rfam family "Bacterial small subunit ribosomal RNA", at positions 336 to 707 of the family's 1533-position model. The record is from RNAcentral. Lineage: Bacteria; Bacillati; Actinomycetota; Actinomycetes; Micromonosporales; Micromonosporaceae.